Non-coding RNA from Puccinia sorghi, 90 nucleotides. The record is from the annotation of a GenBank genome assembly. NCBI's taxonomy places the organism in Eukaryota, Fungi, Basidiomycota, Pucciniomycetes, Pucciniales, Pucciniaceae.
GGCUUGGUAGCCUAGUUGGUAAUGGCAGCAGUUCAAGUAUAGUGUCUUAGCUUCUACCUAGGUUCUCUGGUUCAAAUUCUGACCAAGUUA